Molecule: ribosomal RNA, 408 nt
Filed under: uncultured bacterium
Lineage: Bacteria
Description: partial 16S ribosomal RNA
Rfam family: Bacterial small subunit ribosomal RNA
Source: RNAcentral
GACGAACGCUGGCGGCGUGCUUAACACAUGCAAGUCGAACGAAGUGGCGAACGGGUGAGUAACGCGUAAUCAACCUGCCCUUCAGAGGGGGACAACAGUUGGAAACGACUGCUAAUACCGCAUACUGACUGAGGGGUUUGCGGUUGAUUAGCUAGUUGGAGGGGUAACGGCCCACCAAGGCGAUGAUCAGUAGCCGGUCUUGGAGGAUGAACGGCCAAAGUGGGAAUGGGAAACGGCCCAGACUCCUACGGGAGGCAGCAGUGGGGAAUCUUCCGAAAUGGACGAAAGUCUGACGGAGCAACGCCGCGUGAGUGAUGACGGCCUUCGGGUUGGAAAGCUCUGUUAAUCGGGACGCGGUACCGGAAUAGAAAGCCACGGCUAACUACGUGCCAGCAGCCGCGGUAAUAC